Molecule: ribosomal RNA, 414 nt
Filed under: uncultured Methanosaeta sp.
Lineage: Archaea; Methanobacteriati; Methanobacteriota; Methanomicrobia; Methanotrichales; Methanotrichaceae
Description: bacterial SSU rRNA
Rfam family: Archaeal small subunit ribosomal RNA
Source: RNAcentral
UCUUACCGGGACCGACAGCAAUAUGAAGGCCAGGCUGAAGACUUUGCCGGAUUAGCUGAGAGGUGGUGCAUGGCCGUCGUCAGUUCGUACUGUGAAGCAUCCUGUUAAGUCAGGCAACGAGCGAGACCCACGCCCACAGUUGCCAGCGUACUCUCUGGAGUGACGGGUACACUGUGGGGACCGCCGCUGCUAAAGCGGAGGAAGGAAUGGGCAACGGUAGGUCAGUAUGCCCCGAAUAUCCCGGGCUACACGCGAGCUACAAUGGUUGGUACAAUGGGUAUCUACCCCGAAAGGGGACGGGAAUCUCCUAAAACCAAUCUUAGUUCGGAUUGAGGGCUGCAACUCGCCCUCAUGAAGCUGGAAUCCGUAGUAAUCGCGUUUCAAAAUAGCGCGGUGAAUAUGUCCCUGCUCCUU